GCCUUCGUGGUGUAAUGGUCAGCACACUGAGCCGGUAUUUCAGAGGUCCGUGGUUCGAUCCCCGGCGAAUGCA
Molecule: non-coding RNA, 73 nt
Organism: Stegodyphus mimosarum
Lineage: Eukaryota; Metazoa; Arthropoda; Arachnida; Araneae; Eresidae
Source: Rfam